This 129-nucleotide ribosomal RNA is filed under the name uncultured actinomycete. Its description in RNAcentral is "partial 16S ribosomal RNA". It matches the Rfam family "Bacterial small subunit ribosomal RNA", at positions 656 to 784 of the family's 1533-position model. The record is from RNAcentral. Lineage: Bacteria; Bacillati; Actinomycetota; Actinomycetes; Actinomycetales.
GGUAACUGGAAUUCCUGGUGUAGCGGUGAAAUGCGCAGAUAUCAGGAGGAACACCGAUGGCGAAGGCAGGUCUCUGGGCAGUUACUGACGCUGAGGAGCGAAAGCAUGGGUAGCGAACAGGAUUAGAUA